GACGAACGCUGGCGGCGCGCCUAACACAUGCAAGUCGAACGGAGUUAUUCUGAAUAGUAAGUUUUUCGGUAUGGUAUUUUGGUAUUUAACUUAGUGGCGAACGGGUGAGUAACGCGUGAGUAACCUGCCCUGGAGGUGGGGGACAACAGUUGGAAACGACUGCUAAUACCGCAUAAGCCCACGGUGCCGCAUGGCACAGCGGGAAAAGAUUUAUUCGCUUCAGGAUGGACUCGCGUCCAAUUAGCUAGUU
Molecule: ribosomal RNA, 250 nt
Filed under: uncultured bacterium
Lineage: Bacteria
Description: partial 16S ribosomal RNA
Rfam family: Bacterial small subunit ribosomal RNA
Source: RNAcentral